UAACCCCAAAUUUCAAUUUCUAUUUCUAUUCAUUCAUUCUCUUUAUUCGUAGCAUUCUCUUCCGCCAACUAUUCCCUAAGAAUCGCGUUCUCAAUAAUUUGGCUUAAAAGGUUAGUUUCCAUUUAUACUGAAGUUUGCAUUGCAGAUCAUGUUUCUUUGUGUUGUUAAAUUGGAAAAUGCAUUCAUUCAUGCUUUUGUUUCUUAGCUCAAAUUGUUCUUGGUUUUUGUUGUUUGAAGGGUUUUGUAUUGCGGUGUUGCGAAUCUCUCUCUAACACAUAUGAUCAUCAACAAUGUCGUUCUCACUCUCAAGGUUAGCUUUACUUCGUUCUAAUAAUAAUAUCACAACUUCCAC
Molecule: long non-coding RNA, 352 nt
Filed under: Trifolium pratense (red clover)
Lineage: Eukaryota; Viridiplantae; Streptophyta; Magnoliopsida; Fabales; Fabaceae
Description: long non-coding RNA (TPRA_LNC012789)
Source: RNAcentral